This 27-nucleotide non-coding RNA is filed under the name Mus musculus (house mouse). The record is from RNAcentral. Lineage: Eukaryota; Metazoa; Chordata; Mammalia; Rodentia; Muridae.
UUCUAGUCUAAGUGGAUGCAGUUCAGC